UACAGAGGGUGCGAGCGUUAAUCGGAAUUACUGGGCGUAAAGCGUGCGUAGACGGUUUUGUAAGUCGGAUGUGAAAUCCCCGGGCUCAACCUGGGAAUUGCAUUCGAGACUGCAAGGCUUGGGUGCGGAAGAGGGAAGCGGAAUUUCCGGUGUAGCGGUGAAAUGCGUAGAUAUCGGAAGGAACAUCAGUGGCGAAAGCGACUUCCUGGACCAGUACCGACGUUCAGGCACGAAAGCGUGGGGAGCAAACAGG
Molecule: ribosomal RNA, 253 nt
Filed under: uncultured bacterium
Lineage: Bacteria
Description: partial 16S ribosomal RNA
Rfam family: Bacterial small subunit ribosomal RNA
Source: RNAcentral